CAGGUGGUCAGGUAGAGAAUACCAAGGCGCUUGAGAGAACUCGGGUGAAGGAACUAGGCAAAAUGGUGCCGUAACUUCGGGAGAAGGCACGCUGACACGUAGGUGAAGUGAUUUACUCAUGGAGCUGAAGUCAGUCGAAGAUACCAGCUGGCUGCAACUGUUUAUUAAAAACACAGCACUGUGCAAACACGAAAGUGGACGUAUACGGUGUGACGCCUGCCCGGUGCCGGAAGGUUAAUUGAUGGGGUCAGCGCAAGCGAAGCUCCUGAUCGAAGCCCCGGUAAACGGCGGCCGUAACUAUAACGGUCCUAAGGUAGCGAAAUUCCUUGUCGGGUAAGUUCCGACCUGCACGAAUGGCGUAAUGAUGGCCAGGCUGUCUCCACCCGAGACUCAGUGAAAUUGAACUCGCUGUGAAGAUGCAGUGUACCCGCGGCAAGACGGAAAGACCCCGUGAACCUUUACUAUAGCUUGACACUGAACAUUGAGCCUUGAUGUGUAGGAUAGGUGGGAGGCUUUGAAGUGUGGACGCCAGUCUGCAUGGAGCCGACCUUGAAAUACCACCCUUUAAUGUUUGAUGUUCUAACGUGGACCCGUGAUCCGGGUUGCGGACAGUGUCUGGUGGGUAGUUUGACUGGGGCGGUCUCCUCCUAAAGAGUAACGGAGGAGCACGAAGGUUGGCUAAUCCUGGUCGGACAUCAGGAGGUUAGUGCAAUGGCAUAAGCCAGCUUGACUGCGAGCGUGACGGCGCGAGCAGGUGCGAAAGCAGGUCAUAGUGAUCCGGUGGUUCUGAAUGGAAGGGCCAUCGCUCAACGGAUAAAAGGUACUCCGGGGAUAACAGGCUGAUACCGCCCAAGAGUUCAUAUCGACGGCGGUGUUUGGCACCUCGAUGUCGGCUCAUCACAUCCUGGGGCUGAAGUAGGUCCCAAGGGUAUGGCUGUUCGCCAUUUAAAGUGGUACGCGAGCUGGGUUUAGAACGUCGUGAGACAGUUCGGUCCCUAUCUGCCGUGGGCGCUGGAGAACUGAGGGGGGCUGCUCCUAGUACGAGAGGACCGGAGUGGACGCAUCACUGGUGUUCGGGUUGUCAUGCCAAUGGCACUGCCCGGUAGCUAAAUGCGGAAGAGAUAAGUGCUGAAAGCAUCUAAGCACGAAACUUGCCCCGAGAUGAGUUCUCCCUGAGACUUUAGGUCUCCUGAAGGAACGUUGAAGACGACGACGUUGAUAGGCCGGGUGUGUAAGCGCAGCGAUGCGUUGAGCUAACCGGUACUAAUGAACCGUGAGGCUUAACCUUA
RNAcentral lists this ribosomal RNA (1289 nucleotides) under Salmonella enterica. RNAcentral's name for it is "partial 23S ribosomal RNA". It matches the Rfam family "Bacterial large subunit ribosomal RNA", at positions 1660 to 2925 of the family's 2925-position model. The record is from RNAcentral. Lineage: Bacteria; Pseudomonadati; Pseudomonadota; Gammaproteobacteria; Enterobacterales; Enterobacteriaceae. RNAcentral also lists the same sequence under 2 other names.